CAGGGAUCAGUCUGGGGGGCACCUGGGGGGCUUAGUUGGUUGAGCGUCCGACUCUUGAUUUCAGCUCAGGGUCGUGAGAUCGAGUCCCAUGUCAGGCUCCGUGCUCAGUGGCGAGUCUGCUUUAAGAUUCUCUGUGUCCCUCUCCCUCUGCCCCUUCCCCCCCUGCGCACUCUCUCUCUCUCUAAUAAAUAAAUUAAUAUUUAAAAAAAACAAAAAACAGGGAAGGGUCUAGGAGCAGGGACAGCAGGGACAAAGACUGGAGGGAGGGAUGCAGACGGCCUCUGUGGGAUAGGUGGAGAGGCUGGCCGAGGGUUGUGUGCAUUGUUGCUGGAGAUCAGUAUGAAAGGAAGCUGGGCCCCUGUGGGGAGGGCGGAGUAGAGGACCACUGAGAUGUGGCAUCGGAGUUUGAAGUUCAUGGGGCAGGUGACACGGUUCCAAAUUCUUGCUUGAGGAAGUGACACAGUGAGAUGGUACAUAUAUAAAAUUGGCGAAAGCAUAUCCAGGUGGCUGGGACUCGGGAAGGAUGAGGGCAGGUGAGUUAGGAAUGAGAAAUAGGUAAGGAGGCCUUGCAGAUGCCUCCCAGCAAUGGUCCAUCCCAUUGUGUUUUUCAGUGUUGCAGUGAGACAGUGAGCCCUUGGGCUGCGUUUCCUUUGAGUUGUUGGCAGACAAAGUUCCAAAGACAGCAGAGAAUUUUCCUGCUCUGAGCACCGGGGAGAAAGAAUUUGGUUAUAAAGCUUCCUGCUUUCACAGGAUUAUUCCGGGCUCUCUGUGCCAGGGUGGUGACGUCACUCGCCAUCAUGGCACGGCGGCUGGUCCAUCUGUGGGGAGAAAGCGGAUGAUGAGAAUUUCAUCCUGAAACACACGGGUCCUGGCGUCUUGUCCAUGGCAGAUGCUGGACCCAACACAAAUGGUUCCAGGGUUUUCGUCUGCACUGCCAAGACUGAGUGGAUGGCAAGAGUGUGGUCUUUGGCAAGGUGAGCAAGGGCAGGAAUAUUGUGGACACCAUGCAGUGCUUUGGGUCCCGGAGUGGCAGGACCAGCAAGAAGAUCCCCAUUGCUGACUGUGGACAAAUCUAAUAAAUUUGACUUCCGUGUUAUCUUAAGCACCCGACCAUUCCUUCUGUAGCUUGGGAGAGUACCCCGUCACCCAUAACUGCUCGAAAUGUCCUAUAAUCUUUGUGUUCUCACUACAGUUCUGCGGAUCCAUAUUUUCCUUACUCCCCUCCAAGUCUAGCUGGAUUGCAGAGUUAAGUUUAUGAUAAAGAAAUAAAAAGCAAACAGCAACAGACCUCUUCUCAUAAGAGGUCAUGAGACGCUAUUCAUCUGGGGCCUGGGAUGGCGAGUCAGAAAAAAGAAGCGAUAGCCUAUCUAAAAGCAUUUGAAGAGGUAGACUUGCAGAACUUAGUGAUGGAUGGAUGUGGGGCAUGAAGAAGGAGGAGUCAAAGAUGAUUCCCGAGUCAGGCUUACAGGACAGAUAGGUGAUGUGGGUGUCUGUAAGUGAAAUAAUUCCUUCAGCAGAUAUUUGAGGGCCUACAUUGGGGGAUUAUGUAUUCUAGGCAAAGAAGGGGGAUGAAAAAGCUGCCAAGGAAACAUGAGCAGAAAAAAGCCCAUGGCUUGAGCUGGACUGAAUGGCUUCAUAGAUGACCAGCUCAGACCCACCUACUGGGGGGAGGGGGUGGUGGUCCCUGUCCUCCAAAUGAAAAGAAGGGAAGGGAUUGAGGGGAUUGUUCUCUUCCCAACAGCAACCAUGAACAGUGUUAGGAUAUUUUUUCAAGUUGGCAUUUCUCUAUGCUUAAUAAAGAUGUCAAGCCUACCGUUCAGAGUCUACUCACCAAAAAAACCUAUUAAAUCACCAUUCUGCUUAGGAAAAGCCCACACAUACUCUUUUAACUCUGCCAAGAUAGAGAUCUCUGGAUCCCAACGGUCUCAAACACGAAAGUUAAAAUACCAUAAAAGCACAAGGAACUUUACAGAAGAAAUAGAAAAAUAAGCUGGUGUGCUGAAGUUUCUUUAGACACUAUGUCUUUUGGACUUGGUUAUAUAAUGGUGCCCAUUGAGCAGACUCUUGGUUAAUGUUCUUCUGGACAGAUUAGGCUAUGUUAUUCUUCUCUUGGCUUGCCCCUUCUCUGUGUUACUUGGCAAAGGGUUUCUGUAUCCUUUAUUCCUUUGUUUUCAUCAUUUAUUUCACAAUUUUCCACUUCGGCUUCAAAGAUGACUAUAUAUAUGCAUGUAUAUA
Mirounga angustirostris (Northern elephant seal) is the source of this 2235-nucleotide RNA transcript. It is a transcript of the gene named peptidyl-prolyl cis-trans isomerase A-like, with no coding region annotated. Lineage: Eukaryota; Metazoa; Chordata; Mammalia; Carnivora; Phocidae. The transcript has a single exon. The record is from RefSeq and is a predicted model, not a curated record.